UACAGAGGGUGCAAGCGUUAAUCGGAAUUACUGGGCGUAAAGCGCGCGUAGGUGGUUUGGUAAGUCGGAUGUGAAAUCCCCGGGCUCAACCUGGGAACUGCAUUCGAAACUGCUUGACUAGAGUUUGAGAGAGGGAAGUGGAAUUCCACGUGUAGCAGUGAAAUGCGUAGAUAUAUGGAGGAACAUCGAUGGCGAAGGCAGCCUCCUGGGAUAACACUGACGCUCAUGCACGAAAGCGUGGGGAGCAAACAGG
Molecule: ribosomal RNA, 253 nt
Filed under: uncultured bacterium
Lineage: Bacteria
Description: partial 16S ribosomal RNA
Rfam family: Bacterial small subunit ribosomal RNA
Source: RNAcentral